CCUACGGGGGGCUGCAGUGGGGAAUAUUGGACAAUGGGGGGAACCCUGAUCCAGCCAUGCCGCGAGUGUGAAGAAGGCCCUCGGGUUUUAAAGCACUUUCAGUGAGGAAGAACGCCUGGUGGUUAAUACCCAUCAGGAAAGACAUCACUCACAGAAGAAGCACCGGCUAACUCCGUGCCAGCAGCCGCGGUAAUACGGAGGGUGCGAGCGUUAAUCGGAAUUACUGGGCGUAAAGCGCGCGUAGGUGGCUUGAUAAGCCGGUUGUGAAAGCCCCGGGCUCAACCUGGGAACGGCAUCCGGAACUGUCAAGCUAGAGUGCAGGAGAGGAAGGUAGAAUUCCCGGUGUAGCGGUGAAAUGCGUAGAGAUCGGGAGGAAUACCAGUGGCGAAGGCGGCCUUCUGGACUGACACUGACACUGAGGUGCGAAAGCGUGGGUAGCAAACAGGAUUAGAGACCCUUGUAGUC
RNAcentral lists this ribosomal RNA (465 nucleotides) under Vreelandella stevensii. Its description in RNAcentral is "partial 16S ribosomal RNA". It matches the Rfam family "Bacterial small subunit ribosomal RNA", at positions 338 to 795 of the family's 1533-position model. The record is from RNAcentral. Lineage: Bacteria; Pseudomonadati; Pseudomonadota; Gammaproteobacteria; Oceanospirillales; Halomonadaceae.